UGCGUAGGCGGACAAAUAAGCCAGUGGUGAAAUCACUCAGCUUAACUGAGUAACUGCCAUUGAUACUGUUAGUCUAGAAUGUAAAUGGAGUAGGCGGAAUGAAUCAUGUAGAGGUGACAUUCAUAGAUAUGAUUCAGAACACCGAUCGCGAAGGCAGCUUGCUAAGAUACAAUUGACGCUGAUGCACGAAAGCGUGGGUAGCAAACA
RNAcentral lists this ribosomal RNA (207 nucleotides) under uncultured Bacteroidota bacterium. Its description in RNAcentral is "uncultured Bacteroidetes bacterium partial 16S ribosomal RNA". It matches the Rfam family "Bacterial small subunit ribosomal RNA", at positions 568 to 774 of the family's 1533-position model. Lineage: Bacteria; Pseudomonadati; Bacteroidota. The record is from RNAcentral.